Molecule: long non-coding RNA, 958 nt
Organism: Morone saxatilis (striped sea-bass)
Lineage: Eukaryota; Metazoa; Chordata; Actinopteri; Moronidae
Exons: 5
Source: RefSeq, a predicted model, not a curated record
CAGAGAAACUUGCUCAUCAGUGGCAUGCAAAAAAGGAAAUUACAGAAGCCAGACUUCAUUUUUGUUUUUCGCCAUAGGAAAGGAGCUGGCCUUUUGUUGGGCAGUGAAAUGAUCUUAGAUGGUAUAAUUCAGAAGAUAUCUCUAAUAGAUGUCAAAUAGACAUAGACGUAUCUAAUCCAGCUAAUGAAGAUGGAUGUUAAUCUUCUGUUUUUUCUCAUAGCUGAGAGGGUGGAUCAACAUGUACCAACAUGAACAGAGGAAAACCUAUGUUCUGUAUUUAAGAAAAGUUUUCCAUCGAGUGUGUGGACAAUCCUGAUGGACUUCCUGGUAUAAUUGUCUAUGACGAUAAAACAUUCCCCAUUUCUUCUCAAGAAGAUGCCAUAGGGCUGGCUGCUUCUGAUGAUGGACAAGGCCCUUACAGUUCUGUAAGACCCUUCCAAGUCGCCCAUGCCAUGGACAGGGAUCCUCCAGAGACUGACAUUAAUUCACUAUACAGUCUUCAGGAGGAAGAGGAAGAGGAGGAGGAGGAGGAGAAUGAGUGGAGAAGUCAACAGCCAUCAGGCAUAAAUGCAACUUAUGUAUUUAAUGAAUUUCUGAUAUAUUAUAUUUUAUUUCACCACAUUUUUUUCUUUCUUUUUCAUUAUUGGGUUAUUGUAAUUGCUACAAUUAAUGGUGAGGAGCUGGUUUACUAUGUGAUCUGGAUAACUUUGCUUGUUGAGUUAAUCCCAGUAGAGUUAGUCAGGUAACUCAGACCUGCUUCAUGAAACCUGACUUUUUAAAUUGUGUAAGGGGUUAAAGGCCAAUUACAGCCUGUUUAUUGUGACAAACAAUUUAAAGUAUUACCUUUAAAGGUAGUGGGGCAUACAAAGCUCUCUGAGAUUAAAAUAGGUAAAUCUGUUAAAACAAUGAAACUCUAUGUCAAGAUACUAAUGUAAAUAAAUGUUGCUUGUAAUACCUA